CCCCCGCAGCCCUGUCCAGCCUGGACGGCGACCUGGCGGGCCGGUACUACGCGCUCAAGAGUAUGACGGAGGCGGAGCAGCAGCAGCUCAUCGACGACCACUUCCUCUUCGACAAGCCCGUGUCGCCCCUGCUGCUGGCCUCGGGCAUGGCCCGCGACUGGCCCGACGCCCGCGGUAUCUGAUUGAAACUCUCUUCAAGUCUAAGGACUAUGAGUUCAUGUGGAACCCUCACCUGGGCUACAUCCUCACCUGCCCGUCCAACCUGGGCACCGGGCUGCGGGCAGGUGUGCAUAUCAAGCUGCCCAACCUGGGCAAGCAUGAGAAGUUCUCGGAGGUGCUUAAGCGGCUGCGACUUCAGAAGCGAGGCACAGGCGGUGUGGACACGGCUGCGGUGGGCGGGGUCUUCGACGUCUCCAACGCUGACCGCCUGGGCUUCUCAGAGGUGGAGCUGGUGCAGAUGGUGGUGGACGGAGUGAAGCUGCUCAUCGAGAUGGAGCAGCGGCUGGAGCAGGGCCAGGCCAUCGACGACCUCAUGCCUGCCCAGAAAUGAAGCCCGGCCCACACCCGACACCAGCCCUGCUGCUUCCUAACUUAUUGCCUGGGCAGUGCCCACCAUGCACCCCUGAUGUUCGCCGUCUGGCGAGCCCUUAGCCUUGCUGUAGAGACUUCCGUCACCCUUGGUAGAGUUUAUUUUUUUGAUGGCUAAGAUACUGCUGAUGCUGAAAUAAACUAGGG
Molecule: small RNA, 735 nt
Filed under: Pan troglodytes (chimpanzee)
Lineage: Eukaryota; Metazoa; Chordata; Mammalia; Primates; Hominidae
Description: retained intron
Source: RNAcentral